CAUGUUAGUCGAAAGGUCGAGCAGAGUAAAUUGGCAGGCGUUCGUCAUCUCACUCUGAUGAAAGGUUUUGUGGGUCUGCGUGGGAUAUUCCACCAAACUUUCCAUGAUGGUCCUCGCCUCAGGAAUGGCAACAUUCGUCCUGGCUGUGGAUACCACAUGCAGAAUUCAAUGUAUGGCGUCAGCGGUGGAGGUUCCUGCAGUUUUCAGCACUCGACCCAAGUCCUCACAUCUGUCGGCAACCACACGCAUUGUCAAACAAAUGUCACGUCAGGUAUCCUGAAGCCAAUUGUAUAGCAGGAAAUGUGAAAUUUUGCAUGACAACAUUGUUUAUGACAAUUUGUUUACUAUAUUAUGUUGGCAGGCUAAGAAAUAGUUGAGAUGUUUAGAUGACCUCCUAUGAUGGAAAAUAAUGUUAUUUAAAUUGGAACAGGGGCGGCCCGGUAUCCAGUGGUUAGCACGUCGGCUUCACAGUGCAGGGGUACCGGGUUCGAUUCCAGCUCCGGCCUCCCUGUGUGGAGUUUGCAUGUUCUCCCCGGGCCUGCGUGGGUUUUCUCCGGGUGCUCCGGUUUCCUCCCACAUUCCAAAAAACAUGCGUGGCAGGCUGAUUGAACACUGUAAAUUGUCCCUAGGUGUGAGUGUGAGCGCGAAUGGUUGUUCGUUUCUCUGUGCCCUGCGAUUGGCUGGCAACCGAUUCAGGGUGUCCCCCGCCUACUGCCCGAAGACAGCUGGGAUAGGCUCCAGCAUCCCGCGACCCUAGUGAGGAUCAAGCGGCUCGGAAGAUGAAUGAAUGAAUAUAUAUUCACACACGUUGUUUUCAGAACUAUAUUUAAGCAUAUUUUUAAGGGAAAUAGCCAAAGCUUGUGGCCCAAAUGGAGCCGGCACUACGUACCGCGCGGGCUACAUUCACAUGAUUAAUUUAAUCGCAGAUAUACUGUCGUUUUUAUUCUUGUUCUCGUCCUUUUCUCAUUCAUUUUCCCCUCAAUGUUUAUUUAUUCAAAAAAAAUAAAAUGUUACAUGACAUCAGAGAUUUUAUUUACAUUUAGUACCACAAACGCAUUCACACAAAAGUUCAAAUAAUUGAAACGCAAAAGUCCUGGUCUCCAUUACCAGGUGCAAAUGUGAAAGCACCCAUCAUCCCUCAACGUGAGCGUCUCUCGGUUUAUAUUUCAGUACUUGUGAUGAUUU
This is a long non-coding RNA of Hippocampus zosterae (dwarf seahorse), 1185 nucleotides long. RefSeq lists it as uncharacterized. NCBI's taxonomy places the organism in Eukaryota, Metazoa, Chordata, Actinopteri, Syngnathiformes, Syngnathidae. The transcript has 3 exons. The record is from RefSeq and is a predicted model, not a curated record.